CUUUACUGUAGCCUGGUAUUGGGUUCGGGCUUUGACUGCGCAGGAUAGGUGGGAGACUGAGAAGUGUGCCUUGUGGGGCACAUAGAGUCAACGGUGAGAUACCACUCUGUCAGAGCUAGGAUUCUAACCUUCACCCGUGAUCCGGGGAAGGAACCGUAUCAGGUGGGCAGUUUGACUGGGGCGGUCGCCUCCUAAAAGGUAACGGAGGCGCGCAAAGGUGUUCUCAGGCUGGUUAGAAAUCAGCCGUAGAGUGUAAAGGCAGAAGAACGCCUGACUGUGAGAGUGACAACUCAAGCAGGGUGGAAACACGGCCUUAGUGAUCCGACGGUAUGCGCGUGGAAGUGCCGUCGCUCAACGGAUAAAAGUUA
RNAcentral lists this ribosomal RNA (368 nucleotides) under uncultured organism. Its description in RNAcentral is "bacterial LSU rRNA". It matches the Rfam family "Bacterial large subunit ribosomal RNA", at positions 2099 to 2465 of the family's 2925-position model. The record is from RNAcentral.